CCUACGGGUGGCUGCAGUGAGGAAUAUUGGUCAAUGGACGAGAGUCUGAACCAGCCAAGUAGCGUGAAGGAUGACUGCCCUAUGGGUUGUAAACUUCUGUCGCGAGGGACGAAGAAUGACGGUACCUCGUAAGAAAGCCCCGGCUAACUACGUGCCAGCAGCCGCGGUAAUACGUAGGGGGCGAGCGUUGUCCGGAAUGACUGGGCGUAAAGGGAGUGUAGGCGGCAAUAUAAGUUAGAUGUGAAAUCCCGCGGCUCAACCGCGGAACUGCAUCUAAAACUAUAUAGCUGGAGUGCAGGAGAGGUGAGUGGAAUUCCUAGUGUAGCGGUGGAAUGCGUAGAUAUUAGGAGGAACACCAGAGGCGAAGGCGACUCACUGGACUGUAACUGACGCUGAGGCUCGAAAGCGUGGGGAGCAAACAGGAUUAGAUACCCGAGUAGUC
Molecule: ribosomal RNA, 442 nt
Filed under: uncultured bacterium
Lineage: Bacteria
Description: partial 16S ribosomal RNA
Rfam family: Bacterial small subunit ribosomal RNA
Source: RNAcentral